UGUAAGGGGUAAAACCUUUUGCUUGGUUC
This 29-nucleotide non-coding RNA is filed under the name Homo sapiens (human). Lineage: Eukaryota; Metazoa; Chordata; Mammalia; Primates; Hominidae. The record is from RNAcentral.